GCGCUCGUAGCUCAGCAGGAUAGAGCGACCGCCUCCUAAGCGGUAGGUCGGGGAUUCGAAUUCCUUCGGGCGCACCA
Molecule: transfer RNA, 77 nt
Filed under: Bacillota bacterium
Lineage: Bacteria; Bacillati; Bacillota
Also listed under: 2 other names
Description: tRNA-Arg
Rfam family: tRNA
About the family: Transfer RNA (tRNA) molecules are approximately 80 nucleotides in length. Their secondary structure includes four short double-helical elements and three loops (D, anti-codon, and T loops). Further hydrogen bonds mediate the characteristic L-shaped molecular structure. tRNAs have two regions of fundamental functional importance: the anti-codon, which is responsible for specific mRNA codon recognition, and the 3' end, to which the tRNAs corresponding amino acid is attached (by aminoacyl-tRNA synthetases). tRNAs cope with the degeneracy of the genetic code in two manners: having more than one tRNA (with a specific anti-codon) for a particular amino acid; and 'wobble' base-pairing, i.e. permitting non-standard base-pairing at the 3rd anti-codon position.
Source: RNAcentral